UACGUAGGGUGCGAGCGUUAAUCGGAAUUACUGGGCGUAAAGCGUGCGCAGGCGGUUCGUUGUGUCGGUGGUGAAAGCCCCGGGCUUAACCUGGGAAUGGCCAUGGAAACUGGCGAACUGGAGUGUGGCAGAGGGGGGUGGAAUUCCGCGUGUAGCAGUGAAAUGCGUAGAGAUGCGGAGGAACACCGAUGGCGAAGGCAGCCCCCUGGGCUAGCACUGACGCUCAGGCACGAAAGCGUGGGGAGCGAACAGG
RNAcentral lists this ribosomal RNA (253 nucleotides) under uncultured bacterium. RNAcentral's name for it is "partial 16S ribosomal RNA". It matches the Rfam family "Bacterial small subunit ribosomal RNA", at positions 524 to 776 of the family's 1533-position model. The record is from RNAcentral.